UAGGGAAUCUUCGGCAAUGGACGAAAGUCUGACCGAGCAACGCCGCGUGAGUGAAGAAGGUUUUCGGAUCGUAAAACUCUGUUGUUAGAGAAGAACAAGGACGUUAGUAACUGAACGUCACCUGACGGUAUCUAACCAGAAAGCCACGGCUAACUACGUGCCAGCAGCCGCGGUAAUACGUAGGUGGCAAGCGUUGUCCGGAUUUAUUGGGCGUAAAGCGAGCGCAGGCGGUUUCUUAAGUCUGAUGUGAAAGCCCCCGGCUCAACCGGGGAGGGUCAUUGGAAACUGGGAGACUUGAGUGCGGAAGAGGAGGAUGGAAUUCCAUGUGUAGCGGUGAAAUGCGUAGAUAUAAGGAGGAACACCGGUGGCGAAGGCGGCUCUCUGGUCUGUAACUGACGCUGAGGCUCGAAAGCGUGGGGAGCAAACAGG
This 429-nucleotide ribosomal RNA is filed under the name Gemmatimonadota bacterium. RNAcentral describes it as "Gemmatimonadetes bacterium partial 16S ribosomal RNA". It matches the Rfam family "Bacterial small subunit ribosomal RNA", at positions 355 to 776 of the family's 1533-position model. Lineage: Bacteria; Pseudomonadati; Gemmatimonadota. The record is from RNAcentral.